CCUAACACAUGCAAGUCGAGCGGCAGCACAAGUAAGUUUACUUAUGAGGUGGCGAGCGGCGGACGGGUGAGUAAUGCCUAGGGAUCUGCCCAGUCGAGGGGGAUAACAGUUGGAAACGACUGCUAAUACCGCAUACGCCCUACGGGGGAAAGAGGGGGACCUUCGGGCCUCUCGCGAUUGGAUGAACCUAGGUGGGAUUAGCUAGUUGGUGAGGUAAUGGCUCACCAAGGCGACGAUCCCUAGCUGUUCUGAGAGGAUGAUCAGCCACACUGGGACUGAGACACGGCCCAGACUCCUACGGGAGGCAGCAGUGGGGAAUAUUGCACAAUGGGGGAAACCCUGAUGCAGCCAUGCCGCGUGUGUGAAGAAGGCCUUCGGGUUGUAAAGCACUUUCAGUAGGGAGGAAAGGGUGAGUCUUAAUACGGCUCAUCUGUGACGUUACCUACAGAAGAAGGACCGGCUAACUCCGUGCCAGCAGCCGCGGUAAUACGGAGGGUCCGAGCGUUAAUCGGAAUUACUGGGCGUAAAGCGUGCGCAGGCGGUUUGUUAAGCGAGAUGUGAAAGCCCUGGGCUCAACCUAGGAAUAGCAUUUCGAACUGGCGAACUAGAGUCUUGUAGAGGGGGGUAGAAUUCCAGGUGUAGCGGUGAAAUGCGUAGAGAUCUGGAGGAAUACCGGUGGCGAAGGCGGCCCCCUGGACAAAGA
Molecule: ribosomal RNA, 703 nt
Filed under: Shewanella putrefaciens
Lineage: Bacteria; Pseudomonadati; Pseudomonadota; Gammaproteobacteria; Alteromonadales; Shewanellaceae
Description: bacterial SSU rRNA
Rfam family: Bacterial small subunit ribosomal RNA
Source: RNAcentral